Long non-coding RNA from Juglans microcarpa x Juglans regia, 484 nucleotides. RefSeq lists it as uncharacterized. NCBI's taxonomy places the organism in Eukaryota, Viridiplantae, Streptophyta, Magnoliopsida, Fagales, Juglandaceae. The record is from RefSeq and is a predicted model, not a curated record. The transcript is spliced from 3 exons.
ACUUAACCCUCUUCUUAAGGUUCUCUUUAUUUUGGUAAUAAUUCAUUGGAAUUGAUAUUGUGCUUAAGAAUUUUCAUUCUUGUUUUGUUACUUAAAUUGUUGGUUUUACUGGUUCCUAAUUGUUUGUACUUCCAGGCUGCUCUAAUUGCUUUGUCUGCCCAUGCUGUUGACCCUAGUGAAGCAAAGAGGCUUAAGUUCUUGUCAUCCCCUCAGGGGAAUUUUCACAUACAUGCCCCACCUUUUUUAGUAACUGAAGGGCUUGAAAUCCAAAUUCUCUAGGAUGAGCAAGAAGAAGCAGCAAUUAAUGCAGAGAGUAAUGCUGCUUGCAGAAUCAAUGUACGAGUACAAGGUAUGAUGUUCCUGAUCUUAGAGGGUUCCCUUCAAUGCAGGCCUUGGGAAUGAGGCUGUUGAAGAAGGUUGAUAGACCUGAAUACAAGUUAUGUUUUCUCACAUGAUUUCACACAAAAAUCAUAGUAGAUGCACA